RNAcentral lists this long non-coding RNA (866 nucleotides) under Capsella rubella. RNAcentral's name for it is "long non-coding RNA (CRUB_LNC000975)". Lineage: Eukaryota; Viridiplantae; Streptophyta; Magnoliopsida; Brassicales; Brassicaceae. The record is from RNAcentral.
CCCCUUGAAAUGCUUGCAUUGAGGAUGGUCUAACAUAUCCGAACCGAAAACCCUAUUACCACCGUCGGAUCUUACUUGCAGCACCCUUUCCGAGCUGGACCAAAUCGAAGACAAGCAGAGCCCACCACCAUCUUGUCUCGACCUAGCAACAAGAGGCCUCGACUCUAUCCCCUCACCUCCUACGCCAGCAGACCGAACAGUUUUUCUAGCCAGCACAUGCUUCAAUCCAGGCGAAUCGAACAAGACCAUAAUCGCUAUCAAAUUCCGAGCCAGCCAACACAGAUCUAAAUAGACCCAGUCGUUAAUCUUUCCAACACAGGUGUAAAGCCUCCUAUCCGCCUUUCGACUUUUGCCACUCUCCGCAAUUCUGAAACUGAUAGCGUGAGUUAAGCCACCUUAACCUAACCACUGAAUUUUCAACAGCGGCAAAACGGCAAGGCGGCUCUUAGCACCAGUCUCGACUAUGGAGAGCAUCUAGGGUAAAUCUACCACUCCACUACACAACUGGAGAAACAAGGCCAACACCCACCGCCGGACCAAAAAACUCAUCUUGUGGACAAUGAAGAGCAGAGAACUUGAAAAGGGGGGAGGGAGGGAGGGAGAGGGCAGAACUCACCGGAGGAAACCAAACCAGAGAAGACACUCCACCUCUCCCUCAGAUCUACAAAGGGCGGCUAGGGUUUUAUAAGAAAGAAGAGUGUUUUUUUUUCCUGCCGCUCAAAGGCCUUCUUUCAUCUUUUUCCAUUGGUCAAACUUUUGAAGAUAUUUUUCCUAAGUGCAACAUGAGGAUAAAUUUUAAAUAUCCAUAAUCUAUAUAUAUAAAGUUAGCUUUUUCUCUCUUCUCAUGAUGCCACCUAAGCAUCCAC